UCUUCUCAACAGCCCGCACGUAGCCUAACUGAGGCAGCAGCGUUGCUCAACACUAUAUUGGCCUCAGCGGAGACCAUUAGAACGCUGUCAAGUGCAACCACAAUGGUGCAGCAACCGACCGUUCCAACUCGAGGUGAGGACACCGUGGACGGUCACCUAGCAUCGCUCUUCCCAUCCCGCAGCGGGCAGCGGCCAGCUACAGCUCCUCUUAGGAGAGAUUGUGCACCACGUUAUCAAGCACAACAUUGCUUUGGCACAUGGACAUCUGGCACGAGGAAAACAAGAGCUAGGGCACAGCAGCAUGGCCAUUUCAAUAAGGACGUGAUACUACUCCCCAAUCCAUCAUUGGAUGUAGUGUGCAAACAACGUCCAAAGGUACGGUUACACAAACAUGGACAUAUCCUCAGUGCCUUUGAGUUCCAGAAGGCCUGGGACCACCGGACUGUUAUUGAUCGUAUCAGACAAGGCUUUGGUGAGCAUAUUCCGGAGGACGUCAGCCUCCAGCUUGUAAUGUCUUGUGGCAAUAAGUUGGUGUCCCCUAAGAUCCAGGAGGGUCAGGAGCUGAAUGGGAUGCUAAUCCACAAG
Long non-coding RNA from Eleginops maclovinus (Patagonian blennie), 585 nucleotides. RefSeq lists it as uncharacterized. The record is from RefSeq and is a predicted model, not a curated record. Lineage: Eukaryota; Metazoa; Chordata; Actinopteri; Perciformes; Eleginopidae. The transcript has 3 exons.